UGGGGAAUUUUGCACAAUGGGCGCAAGCCUGAUGCAGCGACGCCGCGUGAGGGAUGAAGGCCUUCGGGUUGUAAAAAUCUUUUGUAUGGGAAGAAAAUGACAGUACCAUACGAAUAAGGACCGGCUAAUUACGUGCCAGCAGCCGCGGUAAUACGUAAGGUCCGAGCGUUGUCCGGAAUCAUUGGGCGUAAAGGGUACGUAGGCGGAUAAGCAAGUUAGAAGUGAAAUCCUAUAGCUCAACUAUAGUAAGCUUUUAAAACUGCUCAUCUUGAGGUAUGGAAGGGAAAGUGGAAUUCCUAGUGUAGCGGUGAAAUGCGCAGAUAUUAGGAGGAAUACCGGUGGCGAAGGCGACUUUCUGGCCAUAUACUGACGCUGAGGUACGAAAGCGUGGGUAGCAAACAGG
RNAcentral lists this ribosomal RNA (403 nucleotides) under Verrucomicrobiota bacterium. RNAcentral's name for it is "Verrucomicrobia bacterium partial 16S ribosomal RNA". It matches the Rfam family "Bacterial small subunit ribosomal RNA", at positions 355 to 776 of the family's 1533-position model. Lineage: Bacteria; Pseudomonadati; Verrucomicrobiota. The record is from RNAcentral.